Molecule: long non-coding RNA, 543 nt
Filed under: Canis lupus familiaris (dog)
Lineage: Eukaryota; Metazoa; Chordata; Mammalia; Carnivora; Canidae
Description: lncRNA (ENSCAFG00030008385.1)
Source: RNAcentral
GGAAAAUGUGUGCAGUACUGAUAAUGGGACCGGAGAAAGCAGGGAAAGCAUGGAUCCAGGUGUGACCAUCAGGGAUGUCUGGAGCACCUGGGUGUCUUCUGGAACUCUGCUGUCCACCUUCUUGCCAUGUCAAAAAACCCAGUGGGAGGCCAGAAAACAACCUCGCUGUUAGGCAGUGCCCAGGCACACAGCAUUCCAGAAGACAACUGCCGCCCCUUGCCUGCACCUUGCUGUCACCCUCUGGUGAGCCAUCACCACACCAUGAUGUGCCUGGUCUGCGGCUUUGUCGGCAUAGAGACCUGGGCAGCCAGAGAGUGGUUAUCACUCUCAUGUUCCAGCGGAGAAAACAAGACGAGCUGUUCCACCCCAGGAGCACACGGAAAGCGCAGGCCUGGGACCAGGACACAGUCCAUUGUACCUUCCUGGGAGCACAGCUGUGUGUGCAGAGCCCUGGCACAGUUGUGCGUGACUCUGCAUAGCAGGCCUUGGAGUGGCAGAGGGGGACUCUUGAGAGAGAGAAUAGGUCCAGUGACAAGUUGGUGA